GACGAACGCUGGCGGCGUGCCUAAUACAUGCAAGUAGAACGCUGAAGGAGGAGCUUGCUCUUCUGGAUGAGUUGCGAACGGGUGAGUAACGCGUAGGUAACCUGCCUGGUAGCGGGGGAUAACUAUUGGAAACGAUAGCUAAUACCGCAUAAGAGUAGAUGUUGCAUGACAUUUACUUAAAAGGUGCAAUUGCAUCACUACCAGAUGGACCUGCGUUGUAUUAGCUAGUUGGUGGGGUAACGGCUUACCAAGGCGACGAUACAUAGCCGACCUGAGAGGGUGAUCGGCCACACUGGGACUGAGACACGGCCCAGACUCCUACGGGAGGCAGCAGUAGGGAAUCUUCGGCAAUGGACGGAAGUCUGACCGAGCAACGCCGCGUGAGUGAAGAAGGUUUUCGGAUCGUAAAGCUCUGUUGUAAGAGAAGAACGAGUGUGAGAGUGGAAAGUUCACACUGUGACGGCAUCUUACCAGAAAGGGACGGCUAACUACGUG
RNAcentral lists this ribosomal RNA (495 nucleotides) under uncultured bacterium. Its description in RNAcentral is "partial 16S ribosomal RNA". It matches the Rfam family "Bacterial small subunit ribosomal RNA", at positions 28 to 507 of the family's 1533-position model. The record is from RNAcentral.